GUGCCAGCCGCUGCGGUAAUACGUAGGUGGCAAGCGUUGUCCGGAAUUAUUGGGCGUAAAGCGCGCGCAGGCGGCCUUUUAAGUCCAUCUUAAAAGCGUGGGGCUCAACCCCAUGAGGGGAUGGAAACUGGGAGGCUGGAGUAUCGGAGAGGAAAGCGGAAUUCCUAGUGUAGCGGUGAAAUGCGUAGAGAUUAGGAAGAACACCAGUGGCGAAGGCGGCUUUCUGGACGACAACUGACGCUGAGGCGCGAAAGCGUGGGAGCAAACAGGAUUAGAUACCCUGGUAGUCCACGCCGUAAAACGAUGGAUACGUAGGUGUAGGAGUAU
Molecule: ribosomal RNA, 327 nt
Filed under: uncultured Dialister sp.
Lineage: Bacteria; Bacillati; Bacillota; Negativicutes; Veillonellales; Veillonellaceae
Description: bacterial SSU rRNA
Rfam family: Bacterial small subunit ribosomal RNA
Source: RNAcentral